GGGACCAAAAAAAUAUCUUGGUUUCUUUUUGUAGGCAAAGAAGCUGAGAUCAGAGAGGUGAAGUGAUUCAUCUCCACCCGGGUGGAAGAACUAAAAUGAAUUCUGGCUUCUGACCUGAGUCUGUAGCUUUGUCUACUGUACCAUCCUAUCCUUGAUGAAAUUCUUGCAAGAAAUGUCCAGUGAAUCGUCUGUGCUUUUAUUCACUUGUUAAUCAUCAUUAAUUUACUAAGCCCUUAUUUUACCCAGAACUAGUAGUUAGAGGCAAAUUGACAAUGGAGUAAGAGGAAAAAUCCUCACGCUGAAGUCUAAUUCCCUAAGACAAUCAGUCUUUUGGGAGUUGUGUGAGUUUUCUCAUGGUGCUGUAACAAAUUAUCACAAACUUUGCUGAAGACAGCACGUAUUUAUUAUGUACAGUGCCAGAGAUCAGAAAUCUCCAACGAGUCUCACUGGGCUAAACUCAAGGUGUUGGCAGAGCUGUGUUCCUCCCGGAGGCUCCGGGGAAGGAUGCGUUUCCUUGGCUUUUCUAGCUUCUGGAAGCUGCCUACAGUCAUUGGCCCCCGGUGUGAUCCCUCCCUCCGUCUCCAUUGCCCCAUCCUAACUGCCCCCAUCAUCUCUGACACUCUCUUCCCUUUUUCUUUGCCUGCGUGAUGGCAUGCAGCCCACCUGGGUAAUCCGGGAUAACCUCUCCAUCUCAAGACCCAACGUUUAAUUGCCUCUGCAGCUGCCUUUCGACAUGGAAGUUGAGAUAUUUGGAGGUUCUCGGGUUUAGGACUUCACUACCUCUGGAGGACUGUUACUCUGCCUACCACAGAAGUCGCAGACAAAGCAGUCCAGAGACGUCACCAACAAAUGUGAAGAAAGAAAGAUCGCAGAGAACUGAUGCUUGAGCCAAGCUGUGAGGGAUGUGAGAAGUUCACCAGCCAAUGCCGGUGCUUUUGUAAGUGCCUGCUAUGAAAUAGCCUGUUGAAUUCUCAGAACAGCCCCAAGAGGAAGGCAACAUUAUUCUCAGUCCGCGGAAGAGGAAACAGAAACACAAGCAGACUGAGUGCUCCAUGAGGGAAGAACCUGUGUCUUCUUCCUACUGUUUGUCCUGCUCCUGGGACCGCGCCAGGCGCAUGGUAGGUGCUCCAAUAAUAUUGAUGAGUAAGAGGAGGAACGGAGGGGUGGAUGGGUGGUGGAAAAGUUCUCUUGAUUCUAAGUCGUCUCCCAAGGGAGAACCUAUCGAGUCAGGCUGGGGAGAGAGUCGGUGGAGAGACAGAGAGCAAAAAGCAGGCCAGAGAUAACACAGAAGAUCACAGGACACUCCAGAGUAAGCCAUCAUCUUGCCACUGACAAAUCACUUCCCAUCUCCCUGUGAGCUCCCCAGCCCCUCCCGUUCACACCGCAGGGCAGAUGGCAACCCUCCCCGCCACAACAGACUCACACUCUACAGUAAUGAAACUUGUCCCUCCCUCCUUAUGUGUCCCCCCCUUAUGUGUCCCUCCCUCCUUCAGACUCUUCAGCAAACCACAAUUUUACCUUCCCCCGACCACUCCACAUUCCACGGGGAGCCUCAAUCCUUCCUUCCCACAACCACUUCUCAUCCACACCAAGCACCAAAUCUCUGCCACGGCCACUUCACACUUUAUAGUCAUCUCCAAUCAUCCUUCUCACACCCCUUGAUAUGCCAACAAAAGGCAGUUCUCCUUCCAACUGCCUUUUCCAACUGCCCAUACAUGGCAGUGAAUCCCAAUCCUCCCUCCCCAUAAGUCCCUGACGUCCCAGAGUCAACCCAACGUGCCCACCACGAAAACACUUACUGCUCCAUGGUGAACCCCUUCCUAUCUCAAACACUCGACACUUCCCAGUGGAAGUGGGUGGGCUCACCCACCACAACCUCUUCACACUCCACAGUAAACACCCUCAAGUCCUUCACCAAACCCUCCUCUCCACAGCCCUUUGACGCCCACAUGAACCUCCGAGCUUUCUU
Long non-coding RNA from Felis catus (domestic cat), 1969 nucleotides. RefSeq lists it as uncharacterized. The record is from RefSeq and is a predicted model, not a curated record. The transcript has 3 exons. NCBI's taxonomy places the organism in Eukaryota, Metazoa, Chordata, Mammalia, Carnivora, Felidae.